AUGAAUUGUGCCCCAUUAUACGAUUAUUAUAUUUUAUUCAUAAACUGGUCACAACUCCAAUAAAAGUCCAGCCAAGGGUAAGGCGGGCCAUUUGGCCCUGGUGCAUAUCGAAUGCGCGACUUGUAUUUCAUAUUAGUUAUGCAAAUAACAAUUACUUGGAAAUCCGCCCAGCACAAGUUGAGCCAGCAAUGAGUUAAGUUCGCGAGAGACUUUCCCCAGAAUUGUGCUUAAAAGUGGAGCUCCAUUAAAAUACAUAAGUCCACAAUCAGAGCGCAACUUCAAAUUUUGGCCACGUAAAAGCAAUUACGUGUGCGGAAUCCAGCCAAAACUAUUUCCCUGUGAAAAUGUGGAAAAUAUAGGAAAAACUUGCAAUGUGCAGUUCGUUCCACAGACGAUCGAUAAGGCCCGCAGGACGGAGAAGGAGAAGUAGGCGGAGGAGCAACUGCCACGCCUGCCCCCCGCUGGGCGCAAGGCAAACUUAUAUGGCACAGACGUCGUCGCACUCGGCUCGGAAAGUGGUUGGAAACAAGGUUAUUUUGCCCGCGGCCAAGACGCGUGGGCGUGGGACGCAGCAUUGCCAAAAGCAGCCACAGAAAAAAAAAACAACACACAAAAUGUGCACAAGACACGCAACCAAACAACAACAACAACAACAACUGCCCACAAAAGACCAAAAGCGAGCUAUAUAUAACUCGAACUCGAAGCUGUAAAAUACAGGAGGCAGGCACAGGUUUCACACUCAAAGGAAAUACGUUCUAGAUUAUAUUAGAAAUAAAAUGCGAAGAGAACUCCGCAUUGCGCUCUGUA
Molecule: small RNA, 807 nt
Filed under: Drosophila virilis
Lineage: Eukaryota; Metazoa; Arthropoda; Insecta; Diptera; Drosophilidae
Description: GJ25624
Source: RNAcentral